This 496-nucleotide ribosomal RNA is filed under the name uncultured bacterium. RNAcentral's name for it is "partial 16S ribosomal RNA". It matches the Rfam family "Bacterial small subunit ribosomal RNA", at positions 28 to 506 of the family's 1533-position model. The record is from RNAcentral.
GAUGAACGCUGGCGGCGUGCCUAAUACAUGCAAGUCGAGCGAACAGAUGAGGAGCUUGCUCCUCUGACGUUAGCGGCGGACGGGUGAGUAACACGUGGAUAACCUACCUAUAAGACUGGGAUAACUUCGGGAAACCGGAGCUAAUACCGGAUAAUAUAUUGAACCGCAUGGUUCAAUAGUGAAAGACGGUUUUGCUGUCACUUAUAGAUGGAUCCGCGCCGCAUUAGCUAGUUGGUAAGGUAACGGCUUACCAAGGCAACGAUGCGUAGCCGACCUGAGAGGGUGAUCGGCCACACUGGAACUGAGACACGGUACAGACUCCUACGGGAGGCAGCAGUAGGGAAUCUUCCGCAAUGGGCGAAAGCCUGACGGAGCAACGCCGCGUGAGUGAUGAAGGUCUUCGGAUCGUAAAACGCUGUUAUUAGGGAAGAACAAAUGUGUAAGUAACGAUGCACGUCUUGACGGUACCUAAUCAGAAAGCCACGGCGAACUACGU